RNAcentral lists this microRNA precursor (103 nucleotides) under Marmota monax (woodchuck). The record is from RNAcentral. Lineage: Eukaryota; Metazoa; Chordata; Mammalia; Rodentia; Sciuridae.
AGUGGGAUAGCUGGGUCAAAUGGUGGUUCCAUUCCAAGUUUUCUGAGGAAUCUCCAUACUGUUUUCCACAGUGGUUGUACUAUUUUGCAGUCCCACCAACAAU